ACCACGGUAGGGUCAGCGACUGGGAUGAAGUCGUAACAAGGUAGCCGUAGGUGAACCUGCAGAAGGAUCA
This 70-nucleotide ribosomal RNA is filed under the name uncultured eukaryote. RNAcentral's name for it is "partial small subunit ribosomal RNA". The record is from RNAcentral.